CAGUCGCCGCGGUAAUACGUAGGGUGCAAGCGUUAAUCGGAAUUACUGGGCGUAAAGCGUGCGCAGGCGGUUUGUUAAGACAGAUGUGAAAUCCCCGGGCUUAACCUGGGAACUGCAUUUGUGACUGGCAAGCUAGAGUAUGGCAGAGGGGGGUGGAAUUCCGCGUGUAGCAGUGAAAUGCGUAGAUAUGCGGAGGAACACCGAUGGCGAAGGCAGCCCCCUGGGCCAAUACUGACGCUCAUGCACGAAAGCGUGGGGAGCAAACAGGAUUAGAUACCCGAGUAGUCCCUGUCUCUUAUAC
RNAcentral lists this ribosomal RNA (301 nucleotides) under uncultured bacterium. Its description in RNAcentral is "partial 16S ribosomal RNA". It matches the Rfam family "Bacterial small subunit ribosomal RNA", at positions 509 to 807 of the family's 1533-position model. The record is from RNAcentral.